CUCACACACUCACACCUUUUGUGACAUCACCUUCUCAAGGCUGCCCUUAAUGUGUAUGUUUGGGAGGUAGAAAAGGAGAAGUAGAGACAAGGCUUCACCAUGUUGGCCAGGAUGGACUCGAUCCCCGGACCUCGUGAUCCACCUGCCUCGGCCUCCCAAAAUGCUGGGAUUACAGGCAUGAACCAUCGUGUUGGACUCCAGUGGACAGACUCUUAACCACUCCUCUACAUCACAUGCUUCAUAGCACAUGGACAACUGUGCAAAUACUGAAGCCAUUUCUACCCACCAGGUAUGAUGGAUGGAGCAUUGGAGCAACCACAAGAGGAAAUAACUGAGACGUGAAGAAAACAAUCAAGACUCUGUCCCUGACAUCACUGAGCAGUCAGCAACUGCCCACUGCCAAACCUACUGCCAUGUGAAAAAUAAAGACCUCAAGAUCUU
Molecule: long non-coding RNA, 441 nt
Organism: Callithrix jacchus (white-tufted-ear marmoset)
Lineage: Eukaryota; Metazoa; Chordata; Mammalia; Primates; Cebidae
Source: RefSeq, a predicted model, not a curated record